GUGCCAGCCGCCGCGGUAAUACGUAGGGUGCGAGCGUUGUCCGGAAUUACUGGGCGUAAAGAGUUCGUAGGCGGUUUGUCGCGUCGUGUGUGAAAUCCCGCAGCUCAACUGCGGGCUUGCAGGCGAUACGGGCAGACUUGAGUACUGCAGGGGAGACUGGAAUUCCUGGUGUAGCGGUGAAAUGCGCAGAUAUCAGGAGGAACACCGGUGGCGAAGGCGGGUCUCUGGGCAGUAACUGACGCUGAGGAACGAAAGCGUGGGUAGCGAACAGGAUUAGAUACCCUAGUAGUCC
This 292-nucleotide ribosomal RNA is filed under the name uncultured bacterium. Its description in RNAcentral is "partial 16S ribosomal RNA". It matches the Rfam family "Bacterial small subunit ribosomal RNA", at positions 505 to 796 of the family's 1533-position model. The record is from RNAcentral.